AUGAACGCUGGCGGCGUGCCUAAUCCAUGCCAGUCGAGCGAACAGAUAAGGAGCUUGCUCCUUUGACGUUAGCGGCGGACGGGUGAGUAACACGUGGGUAACCUACCUAUAAGACUGGGAUAACUUCGGGAAACCGGAGCUAAUACCGGAUAACAUUUGGAACCGCAUGGUUCUAAAGUGAAAGAUGGUUUUGCUAUCACUUAUAGAUGGACCCGCGCCGUAUUAGCUAGUUGGUAAGGUAACGGCUUACCAAGGCAACGAUACGUAGCCGACCUGAGAGGGUGAUCGGCCACACUGGAACUGAGACACGGUCCAGACUCCUACGGGAGGCAGCAGUAGGGAAUCUUCCGCAAUGGGCGAAAGCCUGACGGAGCAACGCCGCGUGAGUGAUGAAGGGUUUCGGCUCGUAAAACUCUGUUAUUAGGGAAGAACAAACGUGUAAGUAACUGUGCACGUCUUGACGGUACCUAAUCAGAAAGCCACGGCUAACUACGUG
This 496-nucleotide ribosomal RNA is filed under the name uncultured bacterium. RNAcentral describes it as "partial 16S ribosomal RNA". It matches the Rfam family "Bacterial small subunit ribosomal RNA", at positions 29 to 507 of the family's 1533-position model. The record is from RNAcentral.